UACGAAGGGGGCUAGCGUUGCUCGGAAUUACUGGGCGUAAAGGGCGCGUAGGCGGACAGUUUAGUCAGAAGUGAAAGCCCAGGGCUCAACCCUGGAAUUGCCUUUGAUACUGGCUGUCUUGAGUACGGGAGAGGUGUGUGGAACUCCGAGUGUAGAGGUGAAAUUCGUAGAUAUUCGGAAGAACACCAGUGGCGAAGGCGACACACUGGCCCGUUACUGACGCUGAGGCGCGAAAGCGUGGGGAGCAAACAGG
Molecule: ribosomal RNA, 253 nt
Filed under: uncultured bacterium
Lineage: Bacteria
Description: partial 16S ribosomal RNA
Rfam family: Bacterial small subunit ribosomal RNA
Source: RNAcentral